CAGAAAAUAGCUUAUCUAAAGCACCUAGCUUACAACUAGGAGAUGUCUAAUUUACUAAGACUUUUUUGC
Molecule: transfer RNA, 69 nt
Filed under: Takydromus wolteri (mountain grass lizard)
Lineage: Eukaryota; Metazoa; Chordata; Lepidosauria; Squamata; Lacertidae
Description: tRNA-Val
Rfam family: tRNA
About the family: Transfer RNA (tRNA) molecules are approximately 80 nucleotides in length. Their secondary structure includes four short double-helical elements and three loops (D, anti-codon, and T loops).
Source: RNAcentral